CCUACGGUGAGCAGCCGUGGGGAAUAUUGCACAAUGGGGAAAACCCUGAUGCAGCGACGCCGCGUGUGUGAAGAAGUAUUUCGGUAUGUAAAGCUCUAUCAGCAGGGAAGAAAAUGACGGUACCUGAUUAAGAAGCCCCUGCUAAAUACGUGCCAGCAGCCGCGGGAAUACGUCGUGGGCAAGCGUUAUCCGGAUUUACUGGUUGUAAAGGGAGCGUAGACGGCAGCACAAGUCUGGAGUGAAAUGCCGGGGCUCAACCCCGGAACUGCUUUGGAAACUGUGCAGCUAGAGUGCAGGAGAGGUAAGUAGAAUUCCAGGUGUAGCGGUGAAAUGCGUAGAUAUUAGGAGGAAGACCAGUGGCGAAGGCGGCUUACUGGAC
RNAcentral lists this ribosomal RNA (379 nucleotides) under uncultured bacterium. Its description in RNAcentral is "partial 16S ribosomal RNA". It matches the Rfam family "Bacterial small subunit ribosomal RNA", at positions 338 to 734 of the family's 1533-position model. The record is from RNAcentral.